RNAcentral lists this ribosomal RNA (460 nucleotides) under uncultured bacterium. RNAcentral describes it as "partial 16S ribosomal RNA". It matches the Rfam family "Bacterial small subunit ribosomal RNA", at positions 338 to 795 of the family's 1533-position model. The record is from RNAcentral.
CCUACGGGUGGCAGCAGUGAGGAAUAUUGGUCAAUGGACGAGAGUCUGAACCAGCCAAGUAGCGUGAAGGAUGACUGCCCUAUGGGUUGUAAACUUCUUUUAUAUGGGAAUAAAAUGUUCCACGUGUGGGAUUUUGUAUGUACCAUAUGAAUAAGGAUCGGCUAACUCCGUGCCAGCAGCCGCGGUAAUACGGAGGAUCCGAGCGUUAUCCGGAUUUAUUGGGUUUAAAGGGAGCGUAGGUGGAUUGUUAAGUCAGUUGUGAAAGUUUGCGGCUCAACCGUAAAAUUGCAGUUGAAACUGGCAGUCUUGAGUACGGUAGAGGUGGGCGGAAUUCGUGGUGUAGCGGUGAAAUGCUUAGAUAUCACGAAGAACUCCGAUUGCGAAGGCAGUUCACUGGACUGCAACUGACACUGAGGCUCGAAAGUGUGGGUAUCAAACAGGAUUAGAUACCCGUGUAGUC